RNAcentral lists this ribosomal RNA (624 nucleotides) under Escherichia coli. RNAcentral's name for it is "partial 23S ribosomal RNA". It matches the Rfam family "Bacterial large subunit ribosomal RNA", at positions 2319 to 2925 of the family's 2925-position model. The record is from RNAcentral. Lineage: Bacteria; Pseudomonadati; Pseudomonadota; Gammaproteobacteria; Enterobacterales; Enterobacteriaceae.
GGCUAAUCCUGGUCGGACAUCAGGAGGUUAGUGCAAUGGCAUAAGCCAGCUUGACUGCGAGCGUGACGGCGCGAGCAGGUGCGAAAGCAGGUCAUAGUGAUCCGGUGGUUCUGAAUGGAAGGGCCAUCGCUCAACGGAUAAAAGGUACUCCGGGGAUAACAGGCUGAUACCGCCCAAGAGUUCAUAUCGACGGCGGUGUUUGGCACCUCGAUGUCGGCUCAUCACAUCCUGGGGCUGAAGUAGGUCCCAAGGGUAUGGCUGUUCGCCAUUUAAAGUGGUACGCGAGCUGGGUUUAGAACGUCGUGAGACAGUUCGGUCCCUAUCUGCCGUGGGCGCUGGAGAAUUGAGGGGGGCUGCUCCUAGUACGAGAGGACCGGAGUGGACGCAUCACUGGUGUUCGGGUUGUCAUGCCAAUGGCACUGCCCGGUAGCUAAAUGCGGAAGAGAUAAGUGCUGAAAGCAUCUAAGCACGAAACUUGCCCCGAGAUGAGUUCUCCCUGACUCCUUGAGAGUCCUGAAGGAACGUUGAAGACGACGACGUUGAUAGGCCGGGUGUGUAAGCGCAGCGAUGCGUUGAGCUAACCGGUACUAAUGAACCGUGAGGCUUAACCUUACAACGCCGAAG